AGAGCCUGGGUCAGGGGUGCCUUGGGGGUAAGACUGAGGAAAGAGGAUAGAAAGAGCUGUUUCUACUUUCCUGGCCUCAGGCUGGGUGUCUUUGAGGUCUCCUUAGCUUCCUAGUACCUGAGAUCCCUGGAAAAGAGUGGUACAAAUAUAACCCUGUCUGACAUUGAAAGCAGAGCACUCUUUAGGCUCUCCUGACAAACACACCAGAAUCCCAUGGUUUGCUGGAUUUCUCCCAUUUCUCUCUCCUCUUAUGUAGCCUCUGACAAGAAAUUUAGAGAUCAGCUCUUUCAGUAACAUCUCUACCCAAGAGCCUGGACCCCUUUGGGGUGAAUGAUGCCUCAGAAACCCUGAGAUAGAAUUUCCAAGCCAUCACUUCAAAUUACUGCAUAACUGUGUUCAUGGAAGUAGUAAUGAUGAUGCUAAUACAUAUGUGGAAAAGGAAGAAAAGGAAGAAUCUGGGCAACUCAACUCAAUGAGGAGCUGGGCACCAGGACAAGCACUUCCCAUGCUGUUCAGCUUGCUGAUGCUGCCCUAUGAGGUAAGAGCUUGACUGUCCCAUACUACAGAGCUCACAUGGCAGAGGCCACCAGAAUUCA
This 596-nucleotide long non-coding RNA is filed under the name Mustela putorius furo (domestic ferret). RNAcentral describes it as "lncRNA (ENSMPUG00000026718.1)". The record is from RNAcentral. Lineage: Eukaryota; Metazoa; Chordata; Mammalia; Carnivora; Mustelidae.